UAGAGACACGGACAACCCCGGGAAACUGGGAUUAAUCCGUGAUAGGUCAUCUCACCUGGAAGGAGAGAUGGCUUAAAGGGGUGCGAGAGCUUCUUUCUCGUAUCCGCUCUAGGAUGGGACUGCGGCCGAUCAGGCUGUUGGUGGGGUAAUGGCCCACCAAACCUGUAACCGGUACGGGCCUUGAGAGAGGGGGCCCGGAGAUGGACACUGAGAGAAGGGUCCAGGUCCUACGGGGCGCAGCAGGCGCGAAACCUUCGCAAUGCGCGAAAGCGUGACGAGGUUAAUCCGAGUGGUCCCCGCUGAGGGGAUCUUUUGCCAGCUGUAAAAAGGCCGGUGAAUAAGGGGAGGGCAAGUCUGGUGUCAGCCGCCGCGGUAAUACCAGCUCCUCGAGUGGUCGGGGCGAUUAUUGGGCCUAAAGCAUCCGUAGCCUGUUCUGUAGGUCCUCUGUCAAAUCCAACGGCUUAACCGUUGGCCCGCAGAGGAUACCGCAGGACUAGGAGGCGGGAGAGGUGGACGGUACUCCACGUGUAGGGGUAAAAUCCUUUGAUCCGUGGAAGA
Molecule: ribosomal RNA, 558 nt
Filed under: uncultured archaeon
Lineage: Archaea
Description: bacterial SSU rRNA
Rfam family: Archaeal small subunit ribosomal RNA
Source: RNAcentral